Molecule: transfer RNA, 67 nt
Filed under: Rhynchium aff. brunneum GX
Lineage: Eukaryota; Metazoa; Arthropoda; Insecta; Hymenoptera; Vespidae
Also listed under: 1 other name
Description: tRNA-Arg
Source: RNAcentral
AAAUAUGAAGUAAUAUUUUACAAUUUAAUUUCGACUUAAAUCUUAGGUUUUAAAUAACCCAUAUUCA